GUGUCUUGUGCUAACCAUUGUUUUUUCUCAAUCAAAUAACAUCAGUCACGUAUCUUAAAAUUGUAAAACUAAUUAUACUCAACCCUAAUAUAUUUCGGCUUAAUUGUUAUGGAAACUCCGUGAUAUUGUCGUCAUAUACUCAUAUCUUUUUCUUGAACGAUUUGAUCUCACAAACAGAAAUCAGAGAUCACAAAACAAAGACGUCGUAUAUAGAUGAAACUCAAAAAUCAUUAUAAAAUACACCAAUACACCCAUCACAUACCCAAGACCUACCUUCAACACGCAUGAGAACAAGAACCACCAAAACCAACUUCGCCACCUAAAUCAAACUCCAUCGCAAACGCGCCACUGCAAAUGAAAACCUUACAAACCCCCUUCGCCCGCUGCUCACCAAAAAAAAAAAAACAUUCUAAAUCAAACAUCGUCUUCUUAUCACCAUAGCUGAAUCACACUCAAAAAUGUCCUAUUUCAACGCUUAGUCGACUUCCACCACCUCUUUAUCCCCGAUCCACCAAAGAUAACCAAUAUAAUUAUCCCAAAGCAAACUUGAUUCAAAACACUAACUCUUGAUCUCGAAGCAAAAGCAAUCGGUCCAUCAGAAUUCAUAACACAAAUCUAUUAGACAUUCGACAGGAUGGACGGUGGUGCAAACAAAUAUCAUGUCAAAAAAGGAAAAGACUCGGCUCGAAGAUCACCCACUUUCCAGCACCCAAAUACAAAAGCAACCAAAAUGCAACAAGAGCUAGCGAUGGCGGAUAUGGACUCAAAACAGAGGCGGCAAACAAUAGAAACAUCUAGAGCUCACCACCAUCCACCAAAACACCAUAAAAACAUCCACCUUCCUACCUAACCAAUGUCUACCAUCCCCUGUUAAUCAGCUCUCGUCCAUCAAAUGUUUCGACUUCAGAUCUGAGUCUAGAUUAUCCACGACCACCCCUUCCAACCACGCCACUACAAUUACCAUAAACCACCACUCAAACUUACACCUCCACUAUCUCCCCUAACCAUCUCGCAGCAAAACAAACAACCAUGCAAAACCAACACCAUCUCUAACCACCCUGUGAGCCACAACUAACCACCCAUAACCACCACACAAUCACCAAGCGAGACACCCACGAAAACAAGCAAAGAUAAUGUCUUCAAAGUCACCCUUAUGUAGGCUAAAACGAUAAACCAACUCCCCAAAGCCGACAUGCCGCCUCAACAACCACCUUUAACCACCAAAUUCGUUGACACCAUCGAUGAUACACUCUCUCACCACCUACAAUCCACCACUACAUCACCACCAUCACAAUCUCCAACUGAACCACCGCCUCAUGACCUCCUCAAACACCACGUAUCACAACCUCCGCACCACCAGAGAACCACCAUAAAUGUGACCUCCUCAUACAUAAAGCAUCACGUCUUCCUCACCACCACAAUCCCAUCACCACUCAAAUUCGUCAAUGACACCAUAUGGAGGUCGUCGGUGUAGCAAACACACAAUUCUAAAUGUAAUAAGCAUUUAGAGCAUCCACAUGUUAAUUUUUUAAAAGGAGUUUUUAAGUGAGUCACGUGUACACAAUUAACAUUGAGGGAGCGUGUGAUUUAUUGAAAAAUAAACGAUUGAAUAGCACAACUUCGAUUACACUGUGUUUUAUUUAAAAACUCGUGUAACUUACAAAAUUGAGAGUAAAUGGUCGGACAAAAACUGAAAUUAUGAUAUUUAACUAUGUAAUGAGACAAGUUUUAGUCCUACGAACAAACUAUUAAAAAUUAUUAACAUCAUUUUUUACACUUUUAAACAUAGAAUACACAAGUCCAUAAUAUUCAUACUAAAUUUAAUUUCUUUAACUAAUACUCCAAGGGCAAUAAUUAUCAUUUUUCAAAAAUUAUUGUCUCUACCAUUCUCCCCCAUACCUCUCUAUCUCCAUUCUCCCCCAUACCUCUCUCCUCUCCCUGUCUCCAUCUCUCCCCUUCCACUCUUCCUUCUCUCUUUAUUUAUGUCUAUCUAUUUCCUUCUCCCUCUCAUAUCUGUCCUCUAUCUCAUACUAUCUCUCCCCUCAUCUUUAUCUUCUAUCCAAAUAUGAGAAAGGAGUCAAACUAUUUUAAAAUGAGAACCUAAUUCAAGAGAUCAGGGAAAUAAAGACUAAAACUAUACUUUUUUAUUUGUAUAAACAUUUUUUAUUUGAAGUUAUUACUUAUUAGUCCAAAUAAAUACACCCUCCGGUCACUAAUAUAAGCAAAAAACUACAUUUUAGGUUCAUUCAUUUAAUGAUGCACAUAGUCUUUAUUAUAGACCACAUACAUCAUUAAAUGAAUGAACCUAAAAUGUAGUUUUUUGCUUAUAUUAGUGACCGGAGGGUGUAUAUAUUUGGGCACCAAGUAUUUUCCCCUUUUUUAAAAAAGAAAGAAAGUAUUUUCCCUUUUCCUACACAUGUAAGUGUAGCCGGCAGAAUUGAUUUGGAAAUCUUGAGGAGCAUUAUCAAUACACGUGUAGACGUGACCAUGAAUUGAUUAAAGGCCGUGGCUACUAAAAGAAGAGUAAAAUAGGACCUUGGCUACCAAGUAAGCUGAAAAGGUCAAUAAAGAUUUUGAAAACCGUCUCUCAAUCCAAGAAAAGGAUUUCCUUGAUUAACACAUGCCGUCUAUAUGCUUUUCUUUUCAGCCAAGCAAACAAUUAAUAAAGGAGAAUGCUAACAAUUGUCUUUAAGGCAUUGGUUAAAGUAUUAAAAUAAGUAAAUUUGUAUUAAAAAUAAUGUAAUUAUUGUUAAGACAAAAGUAAAGACUGGUAUUUCUAAGACAAUAUUUCUAUUAACGGAAUCCUUAAUCAUUACUCUUAAGACACCGAUUAGCGAGACUCUUAACAAAUAACCCAAAACACUAGUAAAUGUGAACCAAUAAUAUAGCCUAAAUUAUUGAAAAAGUCUGUUUCGACAAGCCACUUGAAAGUGUUUCUAGAUACUGCUUAGAAGUGUAGCCAUAUAUUUAUCACUUUAUGAGACAGAAUAUAGUUACAGAUCUGAAAUGAAUUAUAACUACCGUAAAAAAAAAAAAAAAACAGAAAUAUAACCGCUGACCUUUAAUUGACCAAACCAAGCCCGUAAAAAAUAAAGUGCAAUAAGUAAUCGGACUUAAUCAAUUAUUCAUAUAACAUGC
RNAcentral lists this long non-coding RNA (3138 nucleotides) under Medicago truncatula (barrel medic). Its description in RNAcentral is "long non-coding RNA (MTRU_LNC006445)". The stretch from base 2216 to 2330 matches the Rfam family "MIR2593 microRNA precursor family". Lineage: Eukaryota; Viridiplantae; Streptophyta; Magnoliopsida; Fabales; Fabaceae. The record is from RNAcentral.